This 21-nucleotide unclassified non-coding RNA is filed under the name Dictyostelium discoideum. The record is from RNAcentral. Lineage: Eukaryota; Evosea; Eumycetozoa; Dictyosteliales; Dictyosteliaceae.
UGGAUGAUACAGUAAUACCUU